Molecule: ribosomal RNA, 252 nt
Filed under: uncultured bacterium
Lineage: Bacteria
Description: partial 16S ribosomal RNA
Rfam family: Bacterial small subunit ribosomal RNA
Source: RNAcentral
UACGUAGGGCGCGAGCGUGUCCGGAUUUAUUGGGCGUAAAGGGCUUGUAGGCGGCUUGUCGCGUCGGAUGUGAAAACCCGUGGCUCAACUGCGGGCCUGCAUUCGAUACGGGCUGGCUAGAGUACGGCAGGGGAGACUGGAAUUCCUGGUGUAGCGGUGGAAUGCGCAGAUAUCAGGAGGAACACCGGUGGCGAAGGCGGGUCUCUGGGCCGUUACUGACGCUGAGGAGCGAAAGCGUGGGGAGCGAACAGG